GACGAACGCUGGCGGCGUGCCUAAUACAUGCAAGUAGAACGCUGAAGGAGGAGCUUGCUUCUCUGGAUGAGUUGCGAACGGGUGAGUAACGCGUAGGUAACCUGCCUGGUAGUGGGGGAUAACUAUUGGAAACGAUAGCUAAUACCGCAUAAUAGCAGUUGUUGCAUGAUAACUGUUUGAAAGGUGCAAUUGCACCGCUACCAGAUGGACCUGCGUUGUAUUAGCUAGUUGGUGGGGUAACGGCUCACCAAGGCGACGAUACAUAGCCGACCUGAGAGGGUGAUCGGCCACACUGGGACUGAGACACGGCCCAGACGCCUACGGGAGGCAGCAGUAGGGAAUCUUCGGCAAUGGACGGAAGUCUGACCGAGCAACGCCGCGUGAGUGAAGAAGGUUUUCGGAUCGUAAAGCUCUGUUGUAAGAGAAGAACGAGUGUGAGAGUGGAAAGUUCACACUGUGACGGUAUCUUACCAGAAAGGGACGGCUAACUACGUG
This 495-nucleotide ribosomal RNA is filed under the name uncultured bacterium. RNAcentral describes it as "partial 16S ribosomal RNA". It matches the Rfam family "Bacterial small subunit ribosomal RNA", at positions 28 to 507 of the family's 1533-position model. The record is from RNAcentral.